UGAAUACGAGAUGCUACGGCGUCGAAGCAGUGUAUGUCAGACUUCCAAGAAAAGCUCGCAAUGUCAUAAAUAAAGAAUGCCUGUACCAUAACCGACACAGGUGGGUAGGUAGAGUAUACUAAGGGGCGCGAGAUAACUCUCUCUAAGGAACUCGGCAAAAUAACUCCGUAACUUCGGGAGAAGGAGUGCCUUCUAUUAGAAGGUUGCAAUAACAAGAUCCAAGCAACUGUUUAUCAAAAACACAGGUCUCCGCUAAGUCGUAAGACGAUGUAUGGGGGCUGACGCCUGCCCAGUGCCAGAAGGUUAAAGAGGUUGGUUAGCUUUGGCGAAGCUGAUGACUGAAGCCCUGGUGAACGGCGGCCGUAACUAUAACGGUCCUAAGGUAGCGAAAUUCCUUGUCGGGUAAGUUCCGACCCGCACGAAAGGCGUAAUGAUUUGGAUACUGUCUCGGAGAGGGACUCGGUGAAAUAGACUUGUCUGUGAAGAUGCGGACUACCUGCACCAGGACAGAAAGACCCUAUGAAGCUUUACUGUAACUUGAAAUUGAAAUUGGACUUUAUUUGCGCAGCAUAGGUGGAAGGCGUUGAGAUUACUCUUGCGGGAGUACUGGAGCCAUCAGUGAGAUACCACUCCUAUAAUGUUAGAUUUCUAACUUUGGAUCAUGAUCUGGUCAAAGAACAGUUUCAGGCGGGCAGUUUGACUGGGGCGGUCGCCUCCCAAAUGGUAACGGAGGCGUACAAAGGUUUCCUCUGAACGGGUAGAAAUCGUAUCUAGAGUGUAAAGGCAUAAGGAAGCUUGACUGUGAGACCUACAAGUCGAGCAGGGACGAAAGUCGGUCUUAGUGAUCUGACGGUGCUGAGUGGAAAGGCCGUCACUCAACGGAUAAAAGUUACUCUAGGAUAACAGGCUGAUCUCCCCCAAGAGUUCACAUCGACGGGGAGGUUUGGCACCUCGAUGUCGGCUCAUCGCAUCCUGGGGCGGUAGUACGUCCCAAGGGUUGGGCUGUUCGCCCAUGAAAGCGGUACGCGAGCUGGGUUCAGAACGUCGUGAGACAGUUCGGUCCAUAUCCGGUGUAGGCGUUAGAAUAUUGAGAGGAGCCUUCUUUAGUACGAGAGGACCGAGAAGGACAUACCUCUGGUGUACCAGUUAUCGUGCCAACGGUAAACGCUGGGUAGCUAUGUAUGGAGAGGAUAACCGCUGAAAGCAUCUAAGUGGGAAGCCCACCUCAAGAUGAG
RNAcentral lists this ribosomal RNA (1235 nucleotides) under metagenome. RNAcentral describes it as "bacterial LSU rRNA". It matches the Rfam family "Bacterial large subunit ribosomal RNA", at positions 1564 to 2808 of the family's 2925-position model. The record is from RNAcentral.